UACUCAUGUAUUUGUUUUUAAUAUUUGGUAAGUGCAGUAGUAUAUGAAAGUAUCUAACAGUUAUAUUAGUGGUUCAUUUUGGAAACGCCCAUGUUGUCGCAUCCGUUCUCCGUUCGCGGGGGCGAAUGAUACAUACGCGGGUUUUGAAAAGCACAGUCGCGGUAGUAUUUCACACAUACCCCGACGCUAAAUAUAGCUGCUACGGACGAAAACUGGCUUUCUACUUUAAGUUACAUUCCGUGACAAAAAUUAGGAUUUACAGGAACUCCUUCGUCGGCGGGACGCGAAUGAGAUGCGGGGUUUUAGCCGCGCGGUCGUUGUAGUAUUUCACACAUAUACCGCCUUAACUGGGUUCCUACGUUAAGAAUUACAUGCUUCAGUGAGAAAGUUGAGGAACAAAGUCGUCCGCGGGACACGAAUGAGACGUGCAAUGGGCUUCAUCUGCAUCGCGGUUUUGUGGGGUGAGCAAUUGGACAGGCAGGUGGAGAGGAGACACUAGAUGCAUUCAUCCCAGCUUCCUGUCUGACUUUGGCACUCUGUUCACAGCAUAUCAUCUUCAUUCAAAGCGCUCUGUAUCUGGAGAGAGGAACAAAGAAGUCAGGAGGAAAAGUAAACAUCAGGCCAAAUGGUACAGAAGAAACAGGUUGCAGUGAACCUACAUGUUGCUACUCUUCUUUGCAAAGUGAUGGAUUUGCAGUGGAGUUUCUACAAUAUGUCGGAUACUCUUCACACCAUCGGUUAUCAAUCGCUGGCGGUCUCCCUCGGCGGCACUACCGCCGACUUUCGCAACCUGUGAUGGAACACAGUCUGGAGCCGAAUUGUUCUCCUUGACCAGAAGUUUAUUGGAAUCGCUUGGGAUCAUUUGGACAUACUGGACUGUUCCUGCAGUGGUGACAAUUAAUCUGUUUUUUAUGUAACAAUUAUACAACUUCAUUUCAUUUCGUCAUCCACGAAAAUUAUUUGUGAGUCCUAUUGGAUUUGAUUCCUAGUGAAGGUAAAGACCCAUUGUUCCACACUCUUUUAUAGCAUUAUCAAGCUAUGCCAUUGUUGUUGUCAUCGUUGUUUAGUAAUCUCUAGCUAAAUAUAUUUAAUAUUGUGCCUUUAAAGUUAUGCAGUUUUUUAGAUAUUCCUCUUUCUGUGUGAAGAGCCACACAGUGUACAUGUUUCAAUUACUUUAAAAAUAUUUAAUUUCAUGUCCAUUAAAAAAAAACCAUUCAAAAUAUAUGUUUU
Molecule: non-coding RNA, 1230 nt
Organism: Misgurnus anguillicaudatus (oriental weatherfish)
Lineage: Eukaryota; Metazoa; Chordata; Actinopteri; Cypriniformes; Cobitidae
Source: RefSeq, a predicted model, not a curated record